Long non-coding RNA from Tyto alba (common barn owl), 1104 nucleotides. RefSeq lists it as uncharacterized. The transcript has 3 exons. The record is from RefSeq and is a predicted model, not a curated record. Lineage: Eukaryota; Metazoa; Chordata; Aves; Strigiformes; Tytonidae.
GGGGAAAAGACCCUUUCUGGAAUCUGGAGAAGGUGAAGAUGCUCCCAGAGUCAGGGAGCAUCGCUACUUUCUAGACAUUAGGACCUCAAGAGAGGCCGAUGGGUCUUGCCAGAGCUGGGGGUGGGACCCUCAUACCAAACUGCUACUUGCCUGUCUAGGCACUUGGUAGCCCUUCCGACGGCUUGUGGGGAUGCUCAAUGGUCCAGGGGCUUCGGCUGCAGUCGAGGGGCGCUCCUGCUGCUCUCUGUCUCAGCGCCGGGCUGGAUUGUGCAGUGGAGGGAGGGUAAACCAGCAUUUCCUCAUCACCCAGGGGCUUUGCUGGGCUUGGAUGGGACUGGAGGGGGGGGAUGGAAGGGAGGAGCCGGGACUCCGCUAACCUGAUUCACCAGGUUAGAAACCAUCCUUGCAAAAAUCCAAGCCGUCUCGCCGCAACCUCCUCCCACCCUCCCAGGGCACGGCUGGUCCUGAGUGGGAACCAGCCACCCGCCUCCAGCCUCGCACCCCCCCGGCUCCCCUCCUGCAUGCGAGAGCAGCCAGGCGGGGGGGGGAGGUGGGAUGCAACGGUGGGAAUCGCGCCUCCGGCUCCCAGGACCGGCGCCAGCAGCGAGGGCCGGCGGUGGGGCUGGAGAGCUGGGUCCUGCUAAGAGGAUGAAAACAUGGGCGUCAAGUUAUCCUGCCUGAAAGGCUUGAAGACGUGCGUGAGCAGCGGGAACGGCAGCGACAGGACCCCGGCGGCAUCCCCGGGCGAGAAGCACCUGCACGUGCCCUCCAUCAUCGUCACGCCGCCCACACCCACGGGGUCCAUGCUGUCCCGUGAGGCCCGGCGGGUGGGGGGGUCACUGCCCUGCAGCCAGUGCUGAGCGUAGGGGCAGGAUCUGGCCCCGCUCCCCUGGGAUGGAGCCACAGCCGCCGGGAUGCGAAUUGGUUCCAUCCAGCACCCCGGGAGCUCCCCGGGGAGACGCAGAGCACCCGCCCCACGGGUGGGUUUGGACACCAGUGACUGUUUUAUUCUUUUUUUCCUAAAAGCACCGGGGAGAGGGUGUCAUCGUGCGGCUCCUCCCCGGUGAAUAAACACCCUGGGGCUCUGCACCCCUUAGUUUGGCA